GCCCCCGUAGCUCAGCCGGUAGAGUAACUGACUGUUAAUCAGUGGGUCGUGAGUUCGAGUCUCACCGGGGGCGC
This 74-nucleotide transfer RNA is filed under the name uncultured archaeon. RNAcentral's name for it is "tRNA-Asn(gtt)". It matches the Rfam family "tRNA". From Rfam's summary of the family: Transfer RNA (tRNA) molecules are approximately 80 nucleotides in length. Their secondary structure includes four short double-helical elements and three loops (D, anti-codon, and T loops). The record is from RNAcentral.